UUUCUGUAGGUGAACCUGCGGAAGGAUCAUUAAUGAGUUGUCAUGGGGUUCGAUGCUGGCAGCCAAUUUUUGGAUGCAUGUGCUUGCCCUAACAAUCAUCUUCCAAACACCUGUGCACAUCUUUGAGGGAGUCUUGAGUUGGUUGCCGCUCUUGGGUGAUUUUCUCACAUUCCCUUAAAUCAUUAUACGCUAUUAACAAUGUUGAACGUGCUCUGUGCCGCAAGGCUAUUAAUAUAAUACAACUUUUAACAACGGAUCUCUUGGCUCUC
This 269-nucleotide unclassified non-coding RNA is filed under the name plant metagenome. RNAcentral's name for it is "partial contains small subunit ribosomal RNA, internal transcribed spacer 1, and 5.8S ribosomal RNA". The record is from RNAcentral.